RNAcentral lists this transfer RNA (76 nucleotides) under Arthrobacter sp. YN. Its description in RNAcentral is "tRNA-Leu". It matches the Rfam family "tRNA". From Rfam's summary of the family: Transfer RNA (tRNA) molecules are approximately 80 nucleotides in length. Lineage: Bacteria; Bacillati; Actinomycetota; Actinomycetes; Micrococcales; Micrococcaceae. The record is from RNAcentral.
GGGUCUCUAGUCCAACGGCAGAGACGGCAGCUUCAAAACCUGCACAGUCCCGGUUCGAAUCCGGGGAGACCCACUA